RNAcentral lists this ribosomal RNA (408 nucleotides) under uncultured bacterium. Its description in RNAcentral is "partial 16S ribosomal RNA". It matches the Rfam family "Bacterial small subunit ribosomal RNA", at positions 28 to 526 of the family's 1533-position model. The record is from RNAcentral.
GACGAACGCUGGCGGCGUGCUUAACACAUGCAAGUCGAACGAAGUGGCGAACGGGUGAGUAACGCGUAAUCAACCUGCCCUUCAGAGGGGGACAACAGUUGGAAACGACUGCUAAUACCGCAUACUGAAGGAGGGGAUUGCGUCUGAUUAGAUAGGUGGAGGGGUAACGGCCCACCAAGGCGAAGAUCAGUAGCCGGGCUGAGAGGAUGAACGGCCACAUUUGGACUUGGGCCCGGCCCAGACUCCUACUGGGGGCAGCAGGGGGGAAUCUUCCGGAAUGGACGGAAGUCUGACCGGGCAACGCCGGGUGAGUGAUGACGGCCUUCGGGUUGUAAAGCUCUGUUAAUCGGGACGCGGUACCUGAAUAGAAAGCCACGGCUAACUACGUGCCAGCAGCCGCGGUAAUAC